AGAGAUGGAGACUAACGUCUUCCAAGGGAGAUUGCGUCUCCACUUUCACCCUGGUACUGAGAGGUUGAGCACAAAAUUGGAACGCAGUCGCGGGGUAUAUCCCCCUGAAAACCGUACGUUGCCAAAUAAUGAUUUCUUUGGAUUAGAGAACUACAACUCCCCUGGGUCCUGAGCCGGUAUUUCCCUUUUGCGGCUGCACCGUAGUUAAAAACAAAGCUAAGUGUUCUGGGACGUAUAGUUCUAGCGUUCCUUGGGUCCCGCUGGCGAGCGUGGGCUUUCUGCAGCUCGCAACCGGCCUCGUGCUUUGCGGACGGUUCACUGCGCUUGGAAAGGGAUUGGCCUGGGGUACAUCAUCUAAAGAUCCUAGGAUUGCUGCAGGUCAGCAGUCUCCACUGGAAAAAAAGAUCUUGCAUGUAUUUCAAGUCCUCUGAUGAAUCAUGUGAUCUACUAGACCCUGAAGAUACAGUGAAGAGCAAAAGAACACAGAUGAAAUGAGAAACAAAAACGAUGGAGAAAACCAAAAAAGGGGACACAUGGGAUCCAGGCAAUAGGAGAGCCAGCAUAAGAGAGAGCCAGAGGGAUGCCCAGGAUGAGGUGAAGACGAUCUUGGAAAUCAGCCCAGAUGUGCAUGCACCAGUCCACGUGUGGCAGGACCAAGGGAAGUGUCUUCACAAAGAUGAGGGGUACACUCCUUUGGAAACCAGAACCUCGUAUCCUGCACAGCCCAGUGUUGGGAGAUAAAAUAUGCGAAAUACCCCAUUGAGUGAAUCUAAGAGAUUGGACAUGGAGCCAAACCUGCUUCCGCCUUUUGAUUUCUGGACACACAUGUUCUUCCUAUUGAGAACACAGAACUCUAGAGACGUCUCUGAUUCAAACAAUGCACUGUGUCCUGAAAGAUGGCACCCACCCCUCAGAGUGCUUCCUCCAGGCUGGCACUGAGUUGUGCCUGUAGAAGACCUGUCCAGCCUUCCUUGUGGCUGGCAGCUCCUGGGUAGUGCAGAUGGUGAUAGGAUUAGUGGAACCCACAGCCGUGGAAACACUGAAACUUUCCCUGCAAAGUGGGUCCUUCAGGCAGAUAAUGGGCUAGGAGCACUGCCUAGCCUGCAGACCAGGAAUGUCAACAGCACCCAGAGAGUGGUGCUGGCUGUGUCUGAGAGCAGGACAGGAAAACCCACCCAUAGAAUCGGUACCUAACCCUGUGAAGAUGAAACUCUGGCCCUUCCAGGUUGGAAGUAGCUAAAUGUAGUCAACUUGUUACUUAGUGGGUAGUCAUGUAAAGAAAUAGUGCCCCACUAGGGCACAUCAUGGGCCUCAAUUGCUGAUGAGUUGGACAUUCAGAGGUGGCAGCAGCUGGAUCUGCCUUGGUGUGGGGAAGUCAGUGCUGCUGGCCCCUUACGGAGCCUCAUGCCUGCCACUGUGGUUGCUCCAUUCAUGCACUCAUCCUACCAGGCCUGGGCUGACCCAUGGUGAAAGCUGGCUAACUGCCAUUUGUCUGUUUGGUAGUUCAGUGCCACUUCAGACUUGGGUGUUUUCUGUGGGUGUCAGCAAGGGAUUCAAGCUCAACCCAGGUGGACUGUUUUCACCUGAUGAUGAAUGCUGUUGGGCCUGUACCAUCUAUGACUUUGUGGGUCACACAGGCACUUGGAACCCCGUAGUUGCUUGGUAUCCCGUGGUCAAACAUUCUAUUGAAUCAGGACAAGGAACACUAAAAGUUGCUUCUAACAGGGGGCAUGUGUCUCUGCUGUGGAUGACAUGAUCUUACUCCAGAAUCCCAGGCCCUCCACUGUGACUCUCCCACUGGUGCUUGGUUCAGCUCCAUCCUGUGUCUUUCCCCACCACUGGCACCACCAGCCCCAGGGGUCUGAGGGAUGGUGGCUGCUUGUACCAUGGCCUGGAUCUGCUGCAGGGUCCUUUCCUGUGUAGGCCCCACUUGAAGCUGGCAUCCUCCUAUGUCACCUAGACUGUGGGCCAAAGCAAAAUGUCUAGAUGUGGAAUGUGGUGUUGUUAUAAUUCAAAGAGGCUCACCAAGCAGUGUGCUUCCUUGCUUCUGGUGAGGAUGCAAGAUGCAACAGUUUUUCUUUUACCUUGGAGGGGACACACCUGCAUUCCCCUAAACACUUGGCACUUGUUCACCCAUAAAACUUCACUUCAGUGCCCACCUUUGAAGCUGUAUAAGGUUUAUCUUCACCUUGUGGGGUGCGUGUGUUUUGCAAAGGACUACAGUGCACUUUCUUCCUGCUGCUCAUCUACUCCAGUCAACAUGAAGUUGUCAAUGAAAUGUGCUGAUUUAAUAUCCUAAAGGAUAUGCAGUAUGUCCAGUACAGUCUUAAGCCUAUACUAUAGAGGGCACAGGUGUUACAAUAGCCCUGAGGCAAACAAUAAAUAAAUGUGUCGUUGAUUCCA
RNAcentral lists this long non-coding RNA (2403 nucleotides) under Homo sapiens (human). Its description in RNAcentral is "non-protein coding lnc-RNF39-4:28". Lineage: Eukaryota; Metazoa; Chordata; Mammalia; Primates; Hominidae. The record is from RNAcentral.